UACUCCUACGGGAGGCAGCAGUGGGGAAUAUUGGACAAUGGACCGAGAGUCUGAUCCAGCAAUUCUGUGUGCACGAUGAAGUUUUUCGGAAUGUAAAGUGCUUUCAGUUGGGAAGAAACAAAUGACGGUACCAACAGAAGAAGUGACGGCUAAAUACGUGCCAGCAGCCGCGGUAAUACGUAUGUCACGAGCGUUAUCCGGAUUUAUUGGGCGUAAAGCGCGUCUAGGUGGUUAUGUAAGUCUGAUGUGAAAAUGCAGGGCUCAACUCUGUAUUGCGUUGGAAACUGUAUAACUAGAGUACUGGAGAGGUAAGCGGAACUACAAGUGUAGAGGUGAAAUUCGUAGAUAUUUGUAGGAAUGCCGAUGGGGAAGCCAGCUUACUGGACAGAUACUGACGCUGAAGCGCGAAAGCGUGGGUAGCAAACAGGAUUAGAUACCCUGGUAGUCCACGCCGUAAACGAUGAUUACUAGGUGUUGGGGGUCGAACCUCAGCGCCCAAGCAAACACGAUAAGUAAUCCGCCUGGGGAGUACGUACGCAAGUAUGAAACUCAAAGGAAUUGACGGA
This 566-nucleotide ribosomal RNA is filed under the name uncultured bacterium. RNAcentral's name for it is "bacterial SSU rRNA". It matches the Rfam family "Bacterial small subunit ribosomal RNA", at positions 334 to 917 of the family's 1533-position model. The record is from RNAcentral.